Long non-coding RNA from Micropterus dolomieu (smallmouth bass), 1154 nucleotides. RefSeq lists it as uncharacterized. NCBI's taxonomy places the organism in Eukaryota, Metazoa, Chordata, Actinopteri, Centrarchiformes, Centrarchidae. The transcript has 3 exons. The record is from RefSeq and is a predicted model, not a curated record.
GAUCUUUGGAGUCACCCGCUCCGCAGACACGUCGUGCGGGACACUCUGCCUGGAAACACCGCAAACUAAUCGGAACCGGCGGCCGACAGAGACGGACGGGUGUCGCGGGAGAAGAGGGGGUCGACUAGGUGUGACCUGCUGUGUUGGCGACCGGGAUGAUGGGAGGAGAACAGAGUCAUGAUGGGAAGGAGAGUAAAGAGGAGAGUGAAAAACAUCCAGAGUCUGCUGACACCGACAGCUCAGGAUCUGCUGCUUCUGAAGACACCCCAGGAGAGCUGCCCCAGUGCCAGAUGGGAAACAGGAAGGUGGACAACAUGUGUUUCAUGAUCUCGUGCACCAACUGGUACUAAACUGAUCCUGGUACAGCAGGUUAAUGAACCUGUGGGAGAAGCUGGGACGUGUGAAGUUUGAGUUGUUGUUCUGGGACAGACGGUGCAUUCAUGAACCUGCCAAAAAACCCAAAUGAAGUCCUUUGUGCUUGCUGCAUUGUUCCACUGCUGCUCUUAAGAGGAAAUCUUCUUUGGAAAAUGCUGAAUUGUUAAUGAGCAGUUAGAUUAGUGCACCUCUUUAAUGCUGACUGUUGCUAGUGUGUAAACUUUUUCACCUGUUGUUUUUAGGAUGAGAUGCUAUACCAAUUUUACAGCUCCAUGAAUAGAAAUGGAUGAAUCCUGUAAUCUGCUGAGUCUGAAAGGAAAGCAUACAUGCAACAUCAUGCAAUGCGUAACAAAUUUGAGCUCUUACAUUCAGUAUUAGCAAAGGAGACGACGAUGAUGGCUGCUUCGCUCUAUUAAAAACACAUUUCCCAUAAACUCUCUGGCUUCCUCUUGCAAAGAAGGUGUUCCUACUUGUACAACCUUCCUAGAACUUGUCUACAUGCAUUUGCUUUUUCUCUUGUACUGAACUGGAUUAACACGUUUGAAGUGCUCCACCUGCACUCAAAAGUCAUAAAGCAAAAGUACCUUUCUGCAAUAAACACAGGAUGAUGAUUUUCUACCGACUCUUACCCAGAAGCACACAAUGAAAAACAAAGUCUUAAAUAUGUUAUAUCAGUAAAUGAUAAUUAGGGCAAUAUGUAUGAAAAUGUGUGUUUUUAAUAAGCUUCCUGUAAAACCAAGAAAUGCACCAGUCAGUAAUAAACAAAAAAAAGCUGAAAA